Molecule: ribosomal RNA, 492 nt
Filed under: uncultured bacterium
Lineage: Bacteria
Description: bacterial SSU rRNA
Rfam family: Bacterial small subunit ribosomal RNA
Source: RNAcentral
GAUGAACGCUAGCGGCAGGCCUAAUACAUGCAAGUCGAGGGGUAACAGGAAGUGCUUGCACUUCGCUGACGACCGGCGCACGGGUGAGUAACGCGUAUACAAUCUACCUCAUACUAGAGGAUAGCCCGAAGAAAUUUGGAUUAACACUCUAUAGUAUCAUUUAAAGACAUCUUUUUAUGAUUAAAGGUUACGGUAUGAGAUGAGUAUGCGUUCUAUUAGUUUGUAGGUGAGGUAACGGCUCACCUAGACUGCGAUAGAUAGGGGCCCUGAGAGGGGGACCCCCCACACUGGUACUGAGACACGGACCAGACUCCUACGGGAGGCAGCAGUAAGGAAUAUUGGUCAAUGGACGAAAGUCUGAACCAGCCAUGCCGCGUGCAGGAUGAAUGCCCUAUGGGUUGUAAACUGCUUUUAUAUAGGAAGAAAAACUUUCUCGUGAGAAAGCUUGACGGUACUAUAAGAAUAAGGAUCGGCUAACUCCGUGCCAGCAGG